UCGACGUCAUUCAGCAGUACCAGCCCACUGCUGCAGUCCCACAGCAAGCACAAGUCUGAACUUUUCUCAACGCCGAUAGAUAACAAACCGGGUUGAUUAAGGAAAGAGUGCAACUGCACUUUUAUACUCUCAUUAAGGUUAAUUGCAAGUGGAGUAAUGUCAUUUUGUUCCUUCUUCGGUGGUGAGGUCUUUAAAGACCACUUUAAAACUGGGUUGUAUGUGUGUGCCCAGUGUGGACACCAGCUGUUCUCCAGCAGAUCUAAGUAUGAGCAUUCCUCCCCCUGGCCUGCCUUCACUGAGACCGUCCUCCAGGACAGUGUGUCCAAGCACGAGGAGAGACCUGGGGCAUUCAAGGUCCGAUGUGGGAAGUGUGGAAACGGACUGGGUCAUGAGUUUGUGGGAGACGGGCCAAAGAAAGGGCUCUCACGUUUCUGAAUAUUCAGCAGCUCACUGAAGUUCGUCCCUAAAGAUAAGGUAGAUGGACAGUAAGGUGAGCAGCAGGGGUAUGGAGUCACAGUGAUGGUAGAGCAGUAGGAUUGUCUGGAGUCUCUGUGCUGCUGAAGGUGUGCAGGACAGUGGAUGAAGUGUCCUGGAAUAAAGCCCACUUUGGGACCUCCAGGACACUGAUGGUCAAUGUCUUCGCUGGACAAGGACAGAGAAACUCCUCCCAAAUAGUCAGCUACAUUAUGCAAUAAUACACCAUCAUAAUAUAACAAUGAUACACAAUCAUAACACAGACAAGUACAAGGAGUUACACCAUAACACAAAGAUAGUCUGUCACUUAAUCAUUGUUUUAUUUUUUAUCUUAACAUUGUCAGUCAAAUGGGGGAUCACUAUGUAGCCUUCAUAGUGGUGAAUGUAACUUCAGGAUGUCCUCAUUUAUAGUAGUGAAAGCAAACAAAAGUGGCUCAAUCUACCAAUGUAUGUUAAUCAGUUCUAUCAAUGAUGUUAUGAGCCUCUUAAAGAUAGACAGUGAUGUAAAUAAAAUCUCAAUGGUCUUAACGGUCACAAUGUAUAGUAUGCAAACAAAAAGAGAAAUUAAACUGAGAAAUAAAGAUGUACUUUUAUAGAAGAUUA
Molecule: RNA transcript, 1077 nt
Organism: Oncorhynchus gorbuscha (pink salmon)
Lineage: Eukaryota; Metazoa; Chordata; Actinopteri; Salmoniformes; Salmonidae
Gene name: methionine-R-sulfoxide reductase B1-A-like
Exons: 4
Source: RefSeq, a predicted model, not a curated record